AAGUCGUAACAAGGUAACCGUAGGUGAACCUGCGGUUGGAUCAUUAUCGUAUUAAAAAUCUUGGGGUUGGUCAUGUUUUUGCAAGGCCGGCCCUGGGUUUUUUUAACACCUGUGAAUGUUUUUCGUAUUUUCGGCAGCGUAACCGGUAUUCUCCUUCGGGAGGGUAUUGCUGUCGAAGUUUUAACCAACUAUUGUAUUAUAUUUUAUCAAAUGUCUUGUCAAUUGGAUUGAGGUUCAAAACUUUUAAACGGGUGUUGUGUCUCAUUGUCCUCUUGAAAUUUUAUAAAUGGAUUACAACUUUAGACAAUGGAUCUCUUGGCUCUU
RNAcentral lists this unclassified non-coding RNA (324 nucleotides) under fungal sp. RNAcentral's name for it is "partial internal transcribed spacer region". The stretch from base 1 to 46 matches the Rfam family "Eukaryotic small subunit ribosomal RNA", at positions 1786 to 1831 of the family's 1831-position model. The record is from RNAcentral. Lineage: Eukaryota; Fungi.